GGGUAUGUGAACUAUGUCUGUGACAUUUGUUACUUUAUUGGUCAGCAGGAUUGGGUCUAUUGAUCUGACUGGGAGGCAGGCAUCGCCGUCCUCUUUCAAAUCUUUCCAUAUAUCUUUCCUCACGCUGUUUGUUUAGUCCAUCAGAGAGGACAGCCUUUCCUGGGGGAGGAGGGCCAGUGAAGAACAGAAAGGUAGCUGUGCUUCUUUGCUUGAGCCUCCAAACAAACUCUGAAGGCACAUCUCAGGGAACAUCCAUGUUUUCCUCUACCUCUUGCUACUGAUGUCCCCACUGGGGACCACUUAC
Molecule: small nuclear RNA, 304 nt
Filed under: Mus pahari (shrew mouse)
Lineage: Eukaryota; Metazoa; Chordata; Mammalia; Rodentia; Muridae
Description: sRNA (MGP_PahariEiJ_G0008317.1)
Rfam family: 7SK RNA
About the family: 7SK was discovered as an abundant small nuclear RNA in the mid-70s but a possible function has only recently been suggested. Two independent studies have found that 7SK RNA binds the CDK9/cyclin T complex (known as elongation factor P-TEFb).
Source: RNAcentral